CUCUUUUUCUUUCCCAUUGAAAUAUGCCUGUAUUGGAAAGAGGUGCCUUCAUGGGGAGGUAGAUAGCAUGCUUAAGAGAAAAAGGCGGUGCAUGUGAUUGCCAUAUCACCUUCAGAGAUUCUUUCUAGAAGACACGUACAUGCUGUCUACAUUUCAGAUGGCCAAGCCAACCUUUUGCAUCAGCAGGCCGGUUCAACAUUCUAUCAAGCCAGACGUUCCCAGAUGGUGUGGUAUGGUGCAGCCAGAGGAUCCCAUUAUCAUUUGACCCACUCUCCCA
Molecule: long non-coding RNA, 277 nt
Organism: Neofelis nebulosa (Clouded leopard)
Lineage: Eukaryota; Metazoa; Chordata; Mammalia; Carnivora; Felidae
Exons: 3
Source: RefSeq, a predicted model, not a curated record